Molecule: ribosomal RNA, 585 nt
Filed under: uncultured bacterium
Lineage: Bacteria
Description: bacterial SSU rRNA
Rfam family: Bacterial small subunit ribosomal RNA
Source: RNAcentral
CCUACGGGAGGCAGCAGUGGGGAAUAUUGGACAAUGGGCGAAAGCCUGAUCCAGCAAUUCCGCGUGUGUGAAGAAGGCCUUCGGGUUGUAAAGCACUUUAGGUUGGGAAGAAAAAACUUCUCCUAAUACGAGAAGCGUUGACGGUACCAACAGAAUAAGCACCGGCUAACUCUGUGCCAGCAGCCGCGGUAAUACAGAGGGUGCAAGCGUUAAUCGGAUUUACUGGGCGUAAAGCGUGCGUAGGUGGUUUCGUAAGUCGGAUGUGAAAGCCCCGGGCUCAACCUGGGAACUGCAUUCGAUACUGCGAGACUCGAGUUUGGUAGAGGGUGGCGGAAUUCCCGGUGUAGCGGUGAAAUGCGUAGAUAUCGGGAGGAACAUCAAUGGCGAAGGCAGCCACCUGGGCCUGAACUGACACUGAGGCACGAAAGCGUGGGUAGCAAACAGGAUUAGAUACCCUGGUAGUCCACGCCGUAAACGAUGAGAACUUGACGUUGGUUCGUUUUACGAAUCGGUGUCGUAGCUAACGCGAUAAGUUCUCCGCCUGGGGAGUACGGCCGCAAGGUUGAAACUCAAAUGAAUUGACGG